Molecule: long non-coding RNA, 2679 nt
Organism: Gasterosteus aculeatus aculeatus (three-spined stickleback)
Lineage: Eukaryota; Metazoa; Chordata; Actinopteri; Perciformes; Gasterosteidae
Source: Ensembl
CGGGGAGAGCCUGUGUGUGUUUUUUGAGCAUCUGUGUGUGUGUGUGUGUCCGUGUGUGGGACAGUGAGGAAGGAUCUCUAUUAAUCUCUUGCAUUACCGCAGUUAUUUCCACUCUCUUCAUCACCAGCAGCAUGUGCUCUGUGAGAUUUAAAAUAUUUAAAUCUGUAAUCUGUCAGCAUUAUGAGGUUAACACACACGUCCGCACGACUGCGUUCCUAUCCGUCACCGAGCCUCGCGCCCCCCCCACCCCCCUGCAUGCAUCAAGGGGACCUGACGCGGCCUUUUGUGGCUCUGGCAGGAAAAUACUCAGCGACCGGUGUCGGUAAUUUCUCAACAGCCGUACGGACAUGCUGCCCGGUGCCUUUGAGAAAACUCAGGAAAAUGUGUGCAGCUGCGAGUGAAAAAAAAAAAAAAAAACGUGAAAAGAGAAAAAGAAAGCGGCGCGAGAGGAAGCCUCUGAAUGUCUCCCCAGUGUAUUUGACCCAGUGACUCUGGAGGAGUUCUUCCUUGUUCCUCUACUACGGUUUAAACUGGCAUUCAUUAUUGAUUUGGUGGCUCAGACUCUUACGCAGAAGGGUCUCACGAGUGAGCCCAAAUGUUUGCUUAGUUUUGGCGCAGUUGCAUUUAUGGCCCCGCUCACACGUUGUUGCACCUUUUCUCACAACACAGUGCCUCAUUGUCCUAAAACUCUGAAUUAAUAACCAAGAAUGAAUAAAUUGAAUGGGAUUAAAACGACGGUGACCCAUUUAUGAAUAUUAGCUUGAUGGAAGACACUCCAUCGUAGCCCAUUUAGCCAGCUCCAUGUCAUGUCUUCAUACGACAGGCUUUUACUAAGCUCCUUAAGAGCCUGCCCCUGGGGGAUCGGUGGUAGGCUGGAGGUACUGACUCACGCCUUAUCUUCACUCAUUUACCCCACGAAUUAGACGGCCCCUUCGCUCCCGUGUCCUGCCAGACCCACACAAUGCUCACGCCAAGAAAAUGAGGUGAGAAAAGGGCCUCAGCGAUGGUUUAGUUUGGAUAAAAAGCAGUGAAUCGCACACUGCCGCCACUCAACUUCACCUGCACAGCAACGUUCAUCCCCGGGAUUUGAACGCGUGUUGCUUCCCCCUUGUCACUUGUCUGUCUGUCCUCAAGGUGGAUUAGGCAGAGUGAAAUGCAAUUUGAAACAUUUGGAUUAAAGGGGACUUUUGGUAAACAAACAGGCAGAGCUUCACCCCCCCAAAAAACUUGCCUUAAAUUCUCUGUAAAGUUCAAAUGAGAUGGCGAGCUGCAGAUGUGUGACUUGCAGAGGACGGCAAAACGCAGGGCCCCAGAAGUGGACACAUGAAGUGGAGGGUGAGUCGUUUGUCGCAUCGUACCGCGUCGCUCAAAAGGCCAAUGCUAAUUAUUGCCUGGAAAUAAGUGUGACACUUUCCCAAAGUGCAAUCAAUCGGAGCGUCAACCAACCUGCAUGCAUGACUCCUGCACGCCAGUUAAAAAGGUCGUCCAUGUCUUUUGCAUGUUCGACAAUGAACCGAGCUUCAUCCCGAUCUAAGCUUAUGUAAUUCAGUGCGGCUUUGCAUCUGAGAGCCUCUCUCCCUAUCAUGGCAGCCUCCCACUCCCGCCUCUCCCUCGCCGUCUCUGUCUCUCUGUGAUGCAUUUUUAAAAAGUCCCCUUUAAAAAGGAAAACAAUUGAAAAUAGCUCCUCGCCGCUGCUGCGUGUUUGGUUUCGUCCCCUAUUUUCAACCCCAGCAGGCUUCAUCCGCUGCCUGUGAAUUAUUGAGUGUGAAUUUUAUGAUUAAUAAAUAAAUAAUAAAUAGAAAACUUCUGGCAGACAGUGAGUGAUGACAUACUGUGUGACAUCUGCUUUGUAGUUGGAGCGCCGAUGUCCAAAAGAAUCGUGUUUACUAAGCAGACAUUGGUCUUUGGCAGGGAAACCUGUUAGUCAGGGGAGAUGUUUUUGGGCCACGAACAAUGGAAAAUCUCUUUUAAAUAUGUUAUGUGCAGUAGACUUGAGGCAUAUCUUGGUGCCUCGGGCCAAAAACCGUUUUGUUAGUCAAACAAAGACUAUUUCAUUUUCUCACAGAUUUAACAAAUAUGUCUUAUUCAUUAUUAAAAUGAAUACGAGUGUGUCUUGUGAAAUGUUGCUUGUUUCCUGGGAUACACAAACAUUCACGGUGUAUUAUUAGUAAUUAUAUGACAAGAGGUGUGAUUUAAUUUCGCGAAUACAGUUCAUGAAAUAUGAAGAGACAAGUUUAUCCUCCAUCAUUAGUCACUGUGCAUCUGCGCCUGUAGUGAGAUUAUGAAAGAACUCAGUUGACACAUUGCAAUACACGCUUUGACGUCUUUCAAAUGAGCUUUUGUUGAGGCCAAUUUAAAACCUGCGGGACUUAAAUCAUUAACAUUUAAGUGGUAGCGUUAGAACCGAUUUCUCUCACGAAAGAAAUGUCUUCUACUGCACCAAGAGAAAAGGUCUGCUACGUAAGACGCCCUCUAAAUCUUUGAAAUGCAUUUAGUUUGCUUGGAAAUGUAUUGAAAUCUAAUAUCCAUUACAUCCAAAUUCUCCACCGUUGCCUUUUUUCACAUUGCAAAGUGGUGCAACCAGUCCAGAACAAUGACGGACUUGUCUUCAGGUGUUGGAGGGUGAGGGGACAUAGUUCCAGAAGGUCACAGCUGCUGCUCCUGCUGCCUCCAAGACAA